RNAcentral lists this small RNA (83 nucleotides) under Marmota monax (woodchuck). The record is from RNAcentral. Lineage: Eukaryota; Metazoa; Chordata; Mammalia; Rodentia; Sciuridae.
GCUGGGCAUGGUGGUGCAUGCCUGUCAUCCCAGCAACAUGGGAGGCUGAGGCAGGAGGAGCGUGCAUUCAAAGUCAGCCUCAG